GACGAACGCUGGCGGCGUGCUUAACACAUGCAAGUCGAACGGAAAGGCCCUGCUUUUGUGGGGUGCUCGAGUGGCGAACGGGUGAGUAACACGUGAGUAACCUGCCCUUGACUUUGGGAUAACUUCAGGAAACUGGGGCUAAUACCGGAUAGGAGCUCCUGCUGCAUGGUGGGGGUUGGAACGUUUCGGCGGUUGGGGAUGGACUCGGGGCUUAUCAGCUUGUUGGUGGGGUAGUGGCUUACCAAGGCUUUGACGGGUAGCCGGCCUGAGAGGGUGACCGGCCACAUUGGGACUGAGAUACGGCCCAGACUCCUACGGGAGGCAGCAGUGGGGAAUAUUGCACAAUGGGCGGAAGCCUGAUGCAGCAACGCCGCGUGCGGGAUGACGGCCUUCGGGUUGUAAACCGCUUUCGCCUGUGACGAAGCGUGAGUGACGGUAAUGGGUAAAGAAGCACCGGCUAACUACGUG
Molecule: ribosomal RNA, 468 nt
Filed under: uncultured bacterium
Lineage: Bacteria
Description: partial 16S ribosomal RNA
Rfam family: Bacterial small subunit ribosomal RNA
Source: RNAcentral